UUUGCUAACCCACAAUCUCAGCAUAACCCCUCUACUCCACACCAUCACACUCACCUCUCCUUCUGCCCUUCAGUUUCCGCGAGAUUCAUCAACAUCCCCUUUCAUCUCUUCUCUGCAUCCGUUUAAUCUUCAUCCAUUCAACCUCCAUCACCCUCACCGUGAUUCCGCUCCGAACCACCCUCCAUCAAUCUACCAGAACACCAAACUUCUGUACCAUUACCAAAUCCAGACCCUUCAAACUCCAUCUCUCCCUCGACAUCUCCCACCGCCAAUCCACUCCUUCCGCUCUGCCAGCCGUUCCGGAAGCAACUGCAUGCAAAUCACGACCGUUGUCCCACCUAUAUCGUCGUCUGUCACCUUAUUCCAGCCUCUUCUACCCCGCGCGCGUAACAGACUCCAUACUCCAUUCGUAUCUCAUUCAAUGCCCAACUACACCAUCAAGCCAUGA
Molecule: non-coding RNA, 448 nt
Organism: Vicia faba (fava bean)
Lineage: Eukaryota; Viridiplantae; Streptophyta; Magnoliopsida; Fabales; Fabaceae
Source: the annotation of a GenBank genome assembly